AUCAGGCAAGAGGUUACAAUUCUAAUCCCAUCUUGCCUACCUUUAUGCACUUGAACAUUUGGGUCAUUGAUAUUUUUGCUGAUAGCCAUAGUGCAAGGGGAUUAAUUGAAAUUUUCUUGUUCAGAAGGUCAUUAAAUUUCCCUCAUAUUCUUGAUUCUUUCCUUAGGUGGAAGAGUUGAUGUUAGUAACCUGGAAAACGUUUUGGAAAAUGUGAAAAUCAUGCUUCCAGAUAAGGAACUUAAAGAUUUGUCACAAAACCUACCAGUUGAUGCUUCUGGGAUGACUGAUCUGCAUAAACUACUAAAAGAAGUAAAUAAAUUCACAGGAGGAAAAAUUCAAGCCAAGGACAUACAAAAAGUACUGAGAGACAUGGGAAUAGAGCUCACAAAUAGGGAACUCUGGAAUCUGAUGAAAAUGUUGCCAAUUACUGGUAGGCAUUUUAUGCACUACUAUGAUAUAUAUUUCUAUGCUAGUGUGGACUUAAAUGUGAGAAUAUCAUAAAAAUGGGCCCCUCUGAUUUCCUAUAAAAAGAAAGAGUCCGGGCAUGGUGGUAAUCCCAGCACUCUGGGAGGCCAAGGCGGGCAGAUUACCUGAUGCCAGGAGUUUGAGACCAACCUGGCCAACAUGGUGAAACCCCGUCCCUACUAAAAAUUACAAAAAUUAGCCAGGCAUGGUGGUGUGUGCCUGUAAUCCCAGUUACUCAGGAGGCUGAGGCAGGAGAGUCGCUUCAACCACAGAGGCAGAGGUUGCAGUGAGCCGAGAUCGUGCCACUGCACUCCAGCCUGCACAAUGCAGUGAGACGUCAUCAAAAAAAAAGAAAAAGAUUAACCUCUGGUUGUAAAUAUAUUAUGCAUUUGACAUUUAAAUUUUUAGUUUUGAGAGGCUGUCAUAUCUUCAAACCUGAGUCCUGCCAUUAAGAGUAUCAUUACCCCGAGAUUAAAUAAAGCUUAAGGAGGCCAAAGAGAAAAGAAAGCUGAAUUAGUUAGUAGCAGAGAGAAGGAAAAGGGAAAAAGCAGAGUGGGGAAAAGGCACAUCUGUUUCAGUGUAUAAGAAUGAAUGGACUGUCCACAUUAAGAAUUUUAUUCUCAUCUUAUUUUUGGACUUAGUUAUGAAGAGGUGUGGCUGUAGGAAAUGUAGGAAUGCAAAUUAAGAAAGUACUUUUUUAAAAUCUGCAUUUAAAAAUUGCAGCUGGGCAUGGUGGCUCACACCUGUAAUCCCAGCACUUUCGGAGGCCAAGGUGGGUGAUCACCUGAGGUCAGGAGUUCGAGACUAGCCUGGCCAACAUGGCAAAACCCCAUCUCUACUAAAAAUACAAAAAUUAGCUGGGCAUGGUAGCGCAUGCCUAUAAUCCCAGCUACUUAGGAGGCUGAGGUGGAAGAAUCGCUUGAACCUGAGAGGCAGAGUAAGCUGAGAUUGCGCCACUGCACUCUAGCCUGGGCAACAGAGUGAGAUUCCAUCUCUUUCUCUCUCUCUCUCUCUCUCUCUCUCUCUGUCUCUCUCUCUCUAUAUAUAUGUAUGUGUGUGUGUGUAUAUAUAUAUAUAUGUUCUUUCUACUCUUUUUUUGACUGUCUCUGUAAUUUUUUCUUUGAUCUUAACUGUGCCUUAUUUUACAGAUGACGGAAAGGUAUAUAAAAAUAUAUUGCUUGAUAAUAUAAAAUCAUUUCCUGGUAAGUAAAAAACCCAAUAAGGCAAGUAAAACUAUGACUUGUAAGCUUUACCUUAACUAUUAAAAGACCUUAUCAUUAGAUAACAAUUAGAUUAUCUAUUUUAUUGUCACAUUAGCCUAUAGGUCUUAGAUACAACUAUAUUUAAUGUGAUAAUUUAUACUUUGCAAAAGUUUUAAAUUCUAUUGCUGUCCAGAGCUCUAAUUCUUAUCUAACAUAAUUCAUCAAGUUCAUUUAAAAAAAACAUAUGUAAUUUAUAAUGUAAAAAAGUAGUACAUAUAAUUAGUAUAUAAUAAAAUUAUAUAUUAUGUAAUAUAUAGUUGUCUUCUAAAUACACCUUUUUUCCAAAGUAUGGAAAGCUUCCCCUGAAACAACAGUGGCAAAACAUAUUAUAUUCCUGGCUUCCACAGUAAGGCUUUAUUUAUGUAGCCCUGAACAGUUUUUUAAAAAAAUUAUUACUGGCAAUGGAUUUGUUCUAUUUGAUUUUUUUUGGUGACUGAAUAUAACCAGUAUUUUUCUUAGCUAUCAGUUCCUAUAUUUUAUCACUUCCUUCUUUCCUAAGGUGGGAAGUGCAAUGUCUCUAAAAUUGGUACUAUCCUGGAAAACAUGGGUUAUGAGCUGGAAGAUGAGGAAAUUGAAUACCUGCAGAACCACCUGCCAACUACUGGUGAGCAUGUCAUUGUAUCUUCAAGGAAACUCUGAGAUCCUGUAAUAAAAUUUCAAAAUGUAUUCAUCUAAAAAAAAUCUAUUAUCUCAGACUUUUUGCUUGGUAGAUCUUCCUGCAUCCCUUUAUUUUGAGCCUAUGUGUGUCUCUGCAUGUGAGAUGGGUCUCCUGAAUACAGCACACUGAUGGGUCUUGACUCUUUAUCCAAUUUGCCAGUCUGUGUCUUUUAAUUGGGGUAUUUAGCCCGUUUACAUUUAAGGUUAAUAUUGUUAUGUGUGAAUUUGAUCCUGUCAUUAUGAUGUUAGCUGGUUAUUUUGUCCAUUAAUUGAUGCAGUUUCUUCAUAGCAUCGAUGGUCUUUACAAUUUGGCACGUUUUUACAGUGGCUGGUACUGGUUGUUCCUUUCCAGCAUGUUGUUUUGAUCAUAUAAAAAGUCUAGUUUUUAAAAUCCUAUGAAAAAGAAAUAGAAAAUGCAUCCUUCUCUCUGGUAAGCAACACAGUGGCUUUCCUUAGUAUUAUAGUGUAUUGUGUGGGUCUGAGAUUGUGAAUGAUAUGUUGAAUUAAAAGCCAAUUAUCUAAGAUCCUUACUGUACUAUAAAAAUGUAUUACCGCUAUCUCUCUUCUUUCUGAUCCAAAGCACACAGAUUCAGAAUUUUAUGUAUAGUCUUGCUUUAUUUAAUAUGUCUUUUUACUAGAAAUAUUUGCUAAUAUAAAUCAGGUCAGUCUUACCCACUUGAACAGAUAUUUUGCAAGACUAUUUGCACAAAAUAAUAUUAAUUUAAUUAAUAAGAACACAGAAUUGCAUACUAAUUAAGUAGGUAAUACAGGAAACUGGCCAAUCCUCUUUCUCUUAUUCUCAUGCUGUCAUAUUCCUGGUAAUAUAAACUAAUCACCUCUAUUGAAAUAGCCACAGACAAUAAUUAUCAAGUAUUAACUGCCUACUAUAUACCAAAAACAAUAAUCAGUACUUGACAUAUGUUAAUAGUCCUCAAAAUAACUGCAAAGUAGAUUAUCAUCCUAAUGUAUCUGAUGUGGAAAUGGAAAAUCAGUCACAAAGGUUAAUUGAUUUGCCUGAGGCCAUGUGGCCACUAAAUGGAAAAGUAAAGAUGGCAAUUCAGAUCUAUAUAACUUGAAAGGUUUGCCCUUUCUACCAAAUCAUACUGUCUCACAUAAGAGAGGUAAGCAGAGCCACACAGAUUAUGAUAGGAAUGAUUCUUUAAGGAGGUUGUGUGAUGUGGCCCUUAAGAUGAGAAUUAUCAACUAGUGAGUACACAAAUUAAAUGAGAGUCAGCAAAGAUUGGAAAUCUUUGUGGCCAGGGAGUCAGAAGCAUGGAGAAAGGGCUGAGUAACAGUUGCAUGUAGAAGUAGCCAUGAUCCUUUAGGUAGGUAAAUACACCAAUAUUAUAGAAUAUAUUUCUUUUAAAUCCUGUAAUAAUAAAGUGGUCAAACAUAGGGUUAUUCCUGGAUUCUAAAGUGGGACAGGCCAAGUGGAAAGGAAGUCAAAGCAAUGCUUUCAAAAUUUCCUAGAACCAUUGUGUAUAGAAUUUUAUAUACUUUAAUUUCUUCUUCUGUGCUAUAUAGUUAUCAUAUUUGGAACUUCAUUCUUCACUACCAUGAUCAUCUGGGCAUGAAAAUGAAUACAUUUAUAGAACAAAUCAGGGCAAACUUCUGAAUGUUAAUGUUGUAUUCUACAAUGUAAGGUGUUAAUAGCAUAUUUUCUGGGUCUGAGUCAUUAUGGCUGGUCUCAUUUGUACCUUAUCUUACAGAUGAAAAGAAGGUUAAACUGAAUAAGGUCAUGGAAAAUGUAGAGUCAUUUACAGGUGAGUGAAAAAUUAUAGGUAGGCCGGGCACAGUGGCUCACGCCUAUAAUUCCAGCACUUUGGGAGGCCGAGGCAGAUG
Molecule: long non-coding RNA, 4226 nt
Filed under: Cercocebus atys (sooty mangabey)
Lineage: Eukaryota; Metazoa; Chordata; Mammalia; Primates; Cercopithecidae
Description: lncRNA (ENSCATG00000045416.1)
Source: RNAcentral